This 486-nucleotide ribosomal RNA is filed under the name uncultured Denitratisoma sp. RNAcentral describes it as "bacterial SSU rRNA". It matches the Rfam family "Bacterial small subunit ribosomal RNA", at positions 8 to 490 of the family's 1533-position model. The record is from RNAcentral. Lineage: Bacteria; Pseudomonadati; Pseudomonadota; Betaproteobacteria; Nitrosomonadales; Sterolibacteriaceae.
AGAGUUUGAUCAUGGCUCAGAUUGAACGCUGGCGGCAUGCCUUACACAUGCAAGUCGAACGGCAGCACGGGGGCAACCCUGGUGGCGAGUGGCGAACGGGUGAGUAAUACAUCGGAACGUGUCCUUUCGUGGGGGAUAACCAGUCGAAAGACUGGCUAAUACCGCAUGAGAUCUCACGAUGAAAGCGAGGGACCGCAAGGCCUCGCGCGAUUGGAGCGGCCGAUGUCGGAUUAGCUAGUUGGCGGGGUAAAAGCCCACCAAGGCGACGAUCCGUAGCUGGUUUGAGAGAACGACCAGCCACACUGGGACUGAGACACGGCCCAGACUCCUACGGGAGGCAGCAGUGGGGAAUUUUGGACAAUGGGCGCAAGCCUGAUCCAGCCAUGCCGCGUGUGUGAAGAAGGCCUUCGGGUUGUAAAGCACUUUCGGCCGGAACGAAAUCGCCUUUGUUAAUAGCGGGGGUGGAUGACGGUACCGAAGAAGAAG